AGUGAACGCUGGCGGUAGGCCUAACACAUGCAAGUCGAACGGCAGCACAGUAAGAGCUUGCUCUUACGGGUGGCGAGUGGCGGACGGGUGAGGAAUACAUCGGAAUCUACUUUUUCGUGGGGGAUAACGUAGGGAAACUUACGCUAAUACCGCAUACGACCUACGGGUGAAAGCAGGGGAUCUUCGGACCUUGCGCGAUUGAAUGAGCCGAUGUCGGAUUAGCUAGUUGGCGGGGUAAAGGCCCACCAAGGCGACGAUCCGUAGCUGGUCUGAGAGGAUGUACCGGCACAGUGGGAGUGAGCGGCGACACUGAGACCGAGAGAAGGCACAGAUGCCGACGGGAGGAAGAAGGGGGGAAGCCUGCACCAGCGGCGCCAGCCUGAUGCAGCAGCGCCUCGGGUUGGAUGACGGUUUUGUUGUUGAAGAAAGGCUUCAGCAGGGACGACGCUUGUUGUGACGGUACCUGAAGAAGAAGCACCGGCUAACUACGUG
Molecule: ribosomal RNA, 492 nt
Filed under: uncultured bacterium
Lineage: Bacteria
Description: partial 16S ribosomal RNA
Rfam family: Bacterial small subunit ribosomal RNA
Source: RNAcentral